This 438-nucleotide non-coding RNA is filed under the name Cryptosporidium parvum. Lineage: Eukaryota; Apicomplexa; Conoidasida; Eucoccidiorida; Cryptosporidiidae. The record is from RNAcentral.
GUUCAUUGCAACGCACUCUCCUUUUGAAUUAAUUGAGAGUGCAAUGAUUGUUUUUGAGCAUAUUUGUUCUUGCAUAUUCAUAUCCCAUAUUACUUUACCUCUAAUGCACCCAGCCGAAAUUAUGAAAGGGAUAUCUUGAAAAGGAAACGGUGUGCCUGAGCAAACUGAGGGUGAUACAGUAUAUGAUACAUCUUUGUUAUUCUCCUUUGUUGAGAUUGAGGGAGAAACAUGAAUUUUUGGGAUUCUGUAGACGUAAUUUUCAGUAAAUUUUAAAUACCAAAUGAGAGAAUUGAGAAGUAAUCGCUUACCUUGUAGUUCUUAAAGCAGUAUGGAUUGCUAUAGUUACCCAAUCAACCAUAUUACCUCCAAAACUUAGGAUAGUUGCAUCAAUAUAAAUAUUCCAAUAGAGUUUAUUUUCUAAGAUUGUAAGUUUUGAAA